CACAAUGGGCGAAAGCCUGAUGCAGCAACGCCGCGUGAGGGACGAAGGCCUUCGGGUCGUAAACCUCUUUUCUGAGGGACGAGCAAGGACGGUACCUCAGGAAUAAGUCUCGGCUAACUACGUGCCAGCAGCCGCGGUAAAACGUAGGAGGCGAGCGUUAUCCGGAUUUACUGGGCGUAAAGCGUACGCAGGUGGCCAUGCAAGUCGGACAUGAAAGCUCCUGGCUUAACUGGGAGAGGUGGUUCGAAACUGCAUAGCUUGAGGUUGGGAGAGGGACGUGGAAUUCCCGGUGUAGUGGUGGAAUGCGUAGAUAUCGGGAGGAACACCAGUGGCGCAAGCGGCGUCCUGGCCCACACCUGACGCUGAGGUACGAAAGCGUGGGUAGCAAACAGGAUUAGAUACCCUGGUAGUCCACGCUGUAAACGAUGUCAACUAGGUGUCGGCAGUUUUACACUGGCGGUGCCGAAGCCAACGCGUUAAGUUGACCGCCUGGGGACUACGGCCGCAAGGCUA
RNAcentral lists this ribosomal RNA (513 nucleotides) under uncultured Chloroflexota bacterium. RNAcentral's name for it is "bacterial SSU rRNA". It matches the Rfam family "Bacterial small subunit ribosomal RNA", at positions 367 to 896 of the family's 1533-position model. The record is from RNAcentral. Lineage: Bacteria; Bacillati; Chloroflexota.